This 239-nucleotide ribosomal RNA is filed under the name uncultured bacterium. RNAcentral describes it as "partial 16S ribosomal RNA". It matches the Rfam family "Bacterial small subunit ribosomal RNA", at positions 100 to 334 of the family's 1533-position model. The record is from RNAcentral.
CCGGCACGGGUGAGUAACACGUAUGCAAUCCACCUGUAACAGGGGGAUAACCCGGAGAAAUCCGGACUAAUACCCCAUAAUAUGGGCGCUCCGCAUGGAGAGCCCAUUAAAGAGAGCAAUUUUGGUUACAGACGAGCAUGCGCUCCAUUAGCCAGUGGCGGGGUAACGGCCCACCAAGCGACGAUGGAUAGGGGUUCUGAGAGGAAGGUCCCCCACAUUGGAACUGAGACACGGUCCAA